This 77-nucleotide transfer RNA is filed under the name Chrysiogenia bacterium. Its description in RNAcentral is "tRNA-Arg". It matches the Rfam family "tRNA". Rfam says of the family: Transfer RNA (tRNA) molecules are approximately 80 nucleotides in length. Their secondary structure includes four short double-helical elements and three loops (D, anti-codon, and T loops). Further hydrogen bonds mediate the characteristic L-shaped molecular structure. tRNAs have two regions of fundamental functional importance: the anti-codon, which is responsible for specific mRNA codon recognition, and the 3' end, to which the tRNAs corresponding amino acid is attached (by aminoacyl-tRNA synthetases). tRNAs cope with the degeneracy of the genetic code in two manners: having more than one tRNA (with a specific anti-codon) for a particular amino acid; and 'wobble' base-pairing, i.e. permitting non-standard base-pairing at the 3rd anti-codon position. Lineage: Bacteria; Pseudomonadati; Chrysiogenota; Chrysiogenia. The record is from RNAcentral.
GCCCCCAUAGCUCAGCUGGAUAGAGCAAACGUUUCCUAAACGUUAGGCCGCAGGUUCGAGUCCUGCUGGGGGCACCA